AUUGAACGCUGGCGGCAGGCCUAACACAUGCAAGUCGAGCGGAUGAAGGGAGCUUGCUCCUGGAUUCAGCGGCGGACGGGUGAGUAAUGCCUAGGAAUCUGCCUGGUAGUGGGGGAUAACGUCCGGAAACGGGCGCUAAUACCGCAUACGUCCUGAGGGAGAAAGUGGGGGAUCUUCGGACCUCACGCUAUCAGAUGAGCCUAGGUCGGAUUAGCUAGUUGGUGGGGUAAAGGCCUACCAAGGCGACGAUCCGUAACUGGUCUGAGAGGAUGAUCAGUCACACUGGAACUAAGACACGGUCCAGACUCCUACGGGAGGCAGCAGUGGGGAAUAUUGGACAAUGGGCGAAAGCCUGAUCCAGCCAUGCCGCGUGUGUGAAGAAGGUCUUCGGAUUGUAAAGCACUUUAAGUUGGGAGGAAGGGCAGUAAGUUAAUACCUUGCUGUUUUUACGUUACCAACAGAAUAAGCACCGGCUAACUUCGUG
Molecule: ribosomal RNA, 484 nt
Filed under: uncultured bacterium
Lineage: Bacteria
Description: partial 16S ribosomal RNA
Rfam family: Bacterial small subunit ribosomal RNA
Source: RNAcentral